This 69-nucleotide small nuclear RNA is filed under the name Aptenodytes forsteri (emperor penguin). The record is from RNAcentral. RNAcentral also lists the same sequence under 2 other names. Lineage: Eukaryota; Metazoa; Chordata; Aves; Sphenisciformes; Spheniscidae.
AUGUUCUCUUUGGCAGCAUAUAUACUAAAAUUUGAUGAUACAGAGAAGAUUAGCAUAGCACCUGCACAA